GCCCAUAAAGCUUUCUGCUUUCGCAAGUUUGAACCUCUCUUUAAGUGUUAAACUCCAUUGCAAGCUUUGUUUUGUCAUUAUAAGGCUUUAGAGCCUUGCAUGCACGUAAAGUUUGCAACUUUACGUGAUCAACAUGCCUUGGGAAGUUUGAUCUGCAAUAUGGGACCUUAUCAUGGCUUAAAAAGCAUCUGAAUGGAUAAUGGACUGAAGGGACUCGACGAGUUGCAUGGUCAACUCGGCGAGUUCGAUGAAGAUAGUCGUGAACUCGGCGAGUCAAUAGGGUGACCCGACGAUUUAGUUAGGGUUUUCCCGAAUUUUUAGCACGCAUGAACUCGGCUAGUUGCUGGGAAACUCGACGAGUUGGCCAUGGAGUUUACGGCCGCAAACAUUAGGAACUCAACAAGUCACUCAAGUAACUCGACAAGUUGACGAGUUAUGCAAGGAACUCGACGAGUGGCUGGUUGUACUCAGCGAGUUGAGGUCAACAUGGACUGCUGACCUUGACCAUUGACUUGGAAUUUGACCAAGGGUUGACUAGUUAACUUCUGGGAGCAUUUUGGGAAAUUGGAAAUUAUAAGUAUGGUUUUAUGGUGAAUAUAGGCGCUGGAGUUGUGAUAAUGAUCCGAGAGUGGAGCUUAUCAUUUCAGCACAUCAGUUGCGAGGUGAGUUAUCCUCACUUAUACUAAGGGGUCUAAGGCACCAAGGCUGACCCACUGGAUAUGAUAUCCUAGUAGUUGGUAUUAUGUUGAGUAUGAGUUAGUGUUGCAUGUUAGUUGCUAUGUCAGUUAGGUAGAUCUGUAGGACUACCUAUAGUAUUAUGUGAUUAUCUGUAUGUGCAUUAGUUGUGUUAUAUGUCGACAUAUUAUGUGGUAUGGGUUGAGGUGAAACUGCUCCGUGCGGUAACCAACAAACCCAGGAGCAUUCCAGAUACGAGUUGAGGGAGACUAGUACUGUGGGCUUGAUGGCAAUCCAGAUGUGAGUUGUGGGCCCAAAAGAUAAUCUAAACUCACACUAUGGGCCCAGUGGUAAUCCAGUCUGUAAAUCUGUGGACCCAGUACAUGCAAUUAGUUGUAUAUGUGUUAUGUGAAGUGUAUCGGUAUGUUGGCAUUCCAACCCAAUGAUUGAGGGUCUGGGGUAUUCCAUCCCGAUGGAUGAUUGGACCCAUAGUAUGUUGUUUGUUAUUGUAUGUGUAUUGUUGUGUGUGUGGGUAUUUUGGGGGUGACUCACUAAGCUUUCGGGCUUACAAUUUCAGUUUAUUGUUUCAGGUUCAGCGGAUGACCGCAGGAAGGCAAAGGCAUGACCGUACACUUCCUCGAUUGAUGAUUUUGAUUUCUGGGAACUCUGAUGUUUAAACUAUUUUGAAAGCAAAAUGUAAUAACUAAAUGGUUUUAAAUGAUUUAAAAAGUUUUAAAUUAGCUCAAAUUUUAUGGAUGUUACACUUACAACAUUCUCAAUAAUGACCAAAUUUCCCUUUUGGUCAAUCUUUGACUAAAAGUCAAAUAUCUAUAAAUUUAAGAUAAAAAGCUGAAUUGGAUCAGAGAACGGUGAAGCUUUUUGAUGAAGACGAAGUUGAAAAGGGGAUCGAUGGAGAUAAAGAUGGGAUCGUCGGAGAUUCAAGUGGGGGUCGGAACUUGGAUUUCUGUACCUAAAGAGAAGGAGAAGAGUGUCUGGAAGUGGUUUGGUCCAGUGAUAGAGAAUGGAGAAAGGGGUAUAUAUUUUCUCUAAUCUUGGUUCAUAUAUGCAGAGGUGAAAUGAAGGUGAGGGACAGUUUGAGUGCAACCCAUAAGUUCACUCCUAACAUCUUUCCUAAGCCCUCAAAUAUGUAAGUAGGGUAUUUUAUGAAGAACGGAGCACAGUUCAUGGUGGAAAAUAGUGGAGGCGGAGUUCUUCUAGAGAGAUUAUGAGAGAAAGAGAGGGCCCACUUCAUUUUUUUAAAUGUUAUAACUAAUUAAAAAAAUUAAAAAUUAAAAAUAAAUUAAACAAGGACAACAUAGUCUUUUCGUGUCUCACAAGGGAUGAAUUGUACAAAUUUAAACUAACAAGGGAUACAACGUGCAACUUUUAAUCAAAAAGGGGACAGUCCAAGUUAAUUUUUCAAAAUAGGGACUGAACAUGCAUUUUGACACAUGUACGAGGGACGAUCGGUGUAAUUUACCCUAGUUUUUAUUUUGUACAUAGUCUUUUUUUUUUUGUAAAAUAUGCCCUUCAACCCGUUCUUUUUGUACAUACUUAGUCUUAUGAUCAGCUACUCCAUCUUAAGUUCCUAGUUUGUACACAUUUAGCUCUUAAUGUUUUUUUUUUGCAAAAUAAGUCCUUGUUGUUUUUGUAGACAUUCAGUCUGUAUGAGCUGUUUCUUCAGGUUUUGCUCACAUGACAUUCUAUGUGAGACUAUCAUUAAUGAAGUGUUCUCACACGUGGCUCAUUUGGAUAAUGGAAUAAUAUGUCGAUUCUCGUGGUUUUGAUAAUAACAUUUUAGUUUUGAUAUUAGUAACUGUUAUGGUACAAUACCAACUACAUUUAAUACCAAUACCAACUUCAUUCAAUACCAAUCCAACUACAUUAUAUUAGAUAAAGAAAAUACAUUAUCCAUAAUGAUUCCAAUACCAAUACCACUAAAUUUUGAUUCAUUACAGAAGAUUACAAGUUAUUUUAACCCUAUCAUCACGUGAAUUCUUCUUCAGCUCAUUCACUUCUUUCUUGAGGCAGGAAACCUCCCCUUUAACAACUGUAAGCUCAUCUUUAAAAUUCGGGGUCAAUUUGACAUGUUCUUCAUCAACCUAUUUCCAACAUUUUCACUUUUUACCUAGUUUCUUUAGUAACAAAAAAAAUUUUAAGCAUGUAAUAAAGAAUGUCAAUUUGAAAAGAACAAAAAACUCAUUUAGGGAAAAAUGGUCAAAAUCGACAUACCAAGGAAUUAGGGAUCACUCUAAACCUUUUGUCAGGGUGUUCUUUUGUCUUCGAAGUGUAAAUCUUAUUUGGGAUGAAGAAAUCACAAAGAAUCUCGUUGUUUGCUAUGAAGAUAGAUGAAAUCGAUGUCGAAUACCUAUUCUUCUUGGAUAAAACUAGGGAACCAACAUUAUUUGACCGAUUCGUGAAUUAGGUUAUUGAUAUAAGUGAGAGACGAACCAUAUAUGAAAACACAUUGUUAAUGAUUGUACCACACAUGAUGUCAUGUGAGUAAAACCUGAAGAAACGAUCAUAAAGAUUGAAUGUGUACUGUUAGACCGGUUAUCGCACCCGAUUUAAACAAAUAAAAUUAAUAUGGGCUUAUUUAGUCAUAAAAAUCAUUCGUUAUUUUAUUAAUUAUUAUUGAUUUUAUAUCAAUUUAUGGACAAAAGAUACUUAAUAUUGUUCAAAUUAUACUUUCAGUUCAAAAGAGAAGCUCGGAAGCAAAAGGAAGCAGGAGAUACGAAGGAAAGCUCGGGAACGGAACAAAGAAGAAAAAUGCCAAAAACAAGAAGGACUCGUCGAGUAGGGACGUAUACUCUUCGCGAUACUCUAGAAGUCCUUGCCGUACACGGAUUUUAAGUGACGAACUCGUCGAGUCGGUCAUUGGACUCGACGAGUCACCUCUGUUUCCAGAAUACUAUAAAUAGGGAUUUGGAGAUCAAAAUUAGGGACUUCUCUAGAACCCUAGGAGGCCAAAUUACGAUUGAAGGUGUUGUUAGGUCGUGAGAAGUAGAGGAAUCAACCCUACAUUCAAUCUUGAAGAGAAUUAAGGUAACUUUAGUUUAUUCUUAGUAAUCUUUUGAUUUGAACCAUUUUUAAACUCUUUAAAUUCGUUUUUUAGCUUAAGUUUACUGCAAUUAUGAACUAAACCCUUAUUCUUCUGUUUAGGGUAGAUGAUUUUGUGAACAUGGUUUGAUUUUAUGGUUAGGAUUAAUUUUAAUUGGUGAUUAUGUUUUGUUAAGCUUGUUAAAGAACCUUUUAUGUUAAUAAUAACUAAUCUUCUGUUAAUAAAUCAGUAAUUAAGUUGUAUGAACAUCUUUUAGUUAUUAAUUUCAUAUGAUUUACGUGACCACAUAAUUGUAUGUCUAGGAAUAACGAACGUGAAACUAGAAUUAACUAGAAGAUAGGUAAGUUAAUGUGUGAGCUUGCAUGACGAACCAUCAGCAAGAGGUUAAUUGAAUGACCAAGUUAAUUAACCACUACAAGUCUUACUUAACCCGAAUCAAUAUCUAGGAAAUUCAUUAAUUUAGACAACUGGCCAUUGCUUGAAUUAAUCUGUUUUUUAAGGAUUAGUAAUAACGAAUGUGAACCCAAUCACCUCAAUCGGUAACCAAUGAAGAAUUAAUCCGAAACAUUCACUAUAAAAUCAUCCAUGGGAUCAAAUGAGUCGAACCUAAACAGAAGUCCUCUUAAUUAUGGAAUUUAGUGGUAAUAACUUGUCUUAGCUGCUAGUUAGUUAAAUUGCGUGUUAGUUAGUUUAUUUAAGUUUUCUAGUCUUGCAAAACUAGAGAAAACCUUUCCUUUUAUUACUUGUUUUUUAGAUAAUAUUAGCUAUUAGUUUAAAUUUUUCAUUCCCUGAGUUCGAUACCCUACUUAUUUAGCUACACCACAAUUGAUAGGUCCACUGCCUUUGUGUGUUAAUUUUAUAAUUAAAAGUAGGUUUAAAACUAGUUGAGUUCACACACAUCAUUUAUCACUACUGGUUGCACUAAAUAUAUAGUACAAGGAAGUAGAGUCGAAUCCUUAGGGACACAACCUAAAAGUCAAUGCAUUUUUGCAUCAGACACAUCUAGUCAAGAAACGGAAUAUAAAAGGGGGGUUUUAAUUAUAAACUAAAAACUAAAAAUGCAGUGAUAUUAAAUUAAAUGAAAAUCAAUAAUAAAAAUGGUUUCAGCUAUGCUGCGAAUUUCCUAAUCAUCCAACUAAUACAUAUCUAAUUAUUUGAGAUGCUUUCUAUUUAAGCUAGUACUGAGAAUAACUAACAAACUCUAGUAAUUUCUCUUUUACCUAAAUUAAUUAAUCAAAACAAGCUCUUUGAAUUAACCUUAACUUUUUAUUGUUCAAUUAAACAAGCUCUUAAUUAAAUCAGAAAAAUUGCAUUAAGUUCUAUGUAAAAUUCCUAGCAAUACCCAAUACUUCUCACAAGCUCGGAAGUGUAAAUGUAUGAUUUUUCAGUUUAUAAUAAAAUCAAAUCCCAAACAAUGAACCGAUUUAUUACUUGUUACUUAUUACCAAUUAAUUAGAACAAUUACAGAUUCUAUUAACUGAUUAACUAGAAUGAUAAAACCCUAGCUAGGUGAUCAGACUAACAAGAAUUAAAAUCAAAUAUUCAUUAAGAACAAAAAUGAAAAAUCUAGAUCGAAACACAAAUCAAAAAUCAGAUCUAAUGAUCAGUACCCGUCUAAUGUAGAACUGAAAACUAGGGUUUUAGCCAGACAUGGCUAAAAAUGAUAAAAACUACUAGAAUUAAACAUCAAAUAACUAAUCUUACUAAUCUAAUUGAAGGAGAUGAUCCACAGUCUUCAGAUCUUUAGAAAUUGCUGAAAUCAGAGAAGAAACACCUCCAAAAUCGUCUUUUUCGUCAUCUGGAGCCUUAGGAGUCGACUAGGGUAUCAAAAAUCUCUUUACUGGAAUGUUAUAUGGGUCUAUUUAUAUGCCCAAUAGCAAAAACGACAAUACAUACGAUCGCAUAGGGCUAGGUUGCGAUCACAUCUUUGAAGAAAACGCGUCUCGAGCCUUUUUAAUGAAGUAAGAUGCUAUUCUGUUUUUUUUUUUUGGCAAAGUUGCGAUCACAUAGAGGGAAAUUGCAAUCGCAUGUACAUAGGUUGCGAUCACAUGUUUUGAGUUUUUACUUCAGAUGACUUCCAGACGACUUAUUUUGACCCUAGGAAGCUUCGUGGCAAACAUGCGAUCGCAGGAAAAACAUGCGAUCAUACAUGCGAUUGCAUUUUUGGGCCAUGAAAUCGCAAAUUUUUCCUUUUUCACGAACUCGAAAGUUAUCCCUAAUUGUGUCUAAUUUUCAGAACAUCUUGAAUCUCGUUAAUCGGAGUUACGGUUAAUGAGGUAUGGUCAAAAUACUAACAGGGGGUCUAAAUUACCAACAACAUCCUGUAGCUUCAAAUUGCAGAUUCUAUCUUCGUAUGGUUAAUUCGAUCGAAUGCUUCUUGACCAAAUAAUCUUUCAAGCAUUCAUCAACAUACUUAUUCAGUUCUAACUCCAUUUAGGCUCCAAAUAUGCAUCCAGCUGCUCCCAAAGCACUACUCCACUCGAACUAUCUGAAACUGACAUAAAAAAUAUGAACAGUACGAGACUUCUAAUAAAAUACAUGAGCUGAACAUUAUUUGAAUAAAUAACAUGUAAAUCUGAAAAAUAUAAUGCUAAAUAAUAAUAAAAACUAUCCUAAAAGAUGCAUAAAAUGACUUCCAACAUGUACAAAAAUAACAAUAAUUUAUUUUACCAAAACAAAAACAUUAAUGAAUAAAUGUGGAUAAUUGGAAAGUUAAUUUGAAAUAGCCGAUAAUAAGGACUGACGUUUUAUAAAACGAAUAAAUAACAUGUAAAUCUGAAAAAUAUAAUGCUAAAUAAUAAUAAAAACUAUCCUAAAAGAUGCAUAAAAUGACUUCCAACAUGUACAAAAAUAACAAUAAUUUAUUUUACCAAAACAAAAACAUUAAUGAAUAAAUGUGGAUAAUUGGAAAGUUAAUUUGAAAUAGCCGAUAAUAAGGACUGACGUUUUAUAAAACAAUAAAUUGAAGAAUGUAUUUUGNNNNNNNNNNNNNNNNNNNNNNNNNNNNNNNNNNNNNNNNNNNNNNNNNNNNNNNNNNNNNNNNNNNNNNNNNNNNNNNNNNNNNNNNNNNNNNNNNNNNNNNNNNNNNNNNNNNNNNNNNNNNNNNNNNNNNNNNNNNNNNNNNNNNNNNNNNNNNNNNNNNNNNNNNNNNNNNNNNNNNNNNNNNNNNNNNNNNNNNNNNNNNNNNNNNNNNNNNNNNNNNNNNNNNNNNNNNNNNNNNNNNNNNNGAUCGUUUUCCUUAAUUACUUGUAAAUUUUCUAAAAAAAAUAAAAAUAAAAAUAUAUAUAAUAUGUUAAAAUCUUGAAGUUUUUUUUUUCUAAAAAAACAGAAUAUUAAAUACAUUCUGAAACCAUUGGAAAAUUAGUUUCUGACAAGAGACAUGAUCUAAAUUGUCGUUGCCUUGUAUCUUCUUCUCAAUUCUCAUAGCCAUCCAUAUGACUUAAAACACAGCAUGACCCUUACCAAUAUCCAAAAGGCAUCCGCACCCACCUCCUCCUCCACCAGUCCACCCUACAAAAAUGGCCACACUUCUCUCUCAUCUUCCUUCAACAUCACCGCCUUCCCCUCUUCUCAUCAUUUUCCGGCGACAUGUCAGCUUUCUCUGUAAAAUUCCUCGCACCCAAUUCAUUUCUCAGUCCGAUAACCAAUAUCAGUGCCACCAGGCUCUAUGCAAACCCAUCUCAAACCGCCGUGCCAGCUCCUCCUCAGGCGCCGGAGGAGAUCACGGCUGAAAGACUGGAACCCAGAGUCGAAAAGAAAGGCGGGUAUUUUGUUCUGAAAGAGAAGUUCCGGCAAGGUAUUAAUCCACAAGAAAAGGUGAAAAUUGCUNNNNN
RNAcentral lists this long non-coding RNA (7569 nucleotides) under Lactuca sativa (garden lettuce). Its description in RNAcentral is "long non-coding RNA (LSAT_LNC007554)". The record is from RNAcentral. Lineage: Eukaryota; Viridiplantae; Streptophyta; Magnoliopsida; Asterales; Asteraceae.